Molecule: ribosomal RNA, 252 nt
Filed under: uncultured bacterium
Lineage: Bacteria
Description: partial 16S ribosomal RNA
Rfam family: Bacterial small subunit ribosomal RNA
Source: RNAcentral
UACGUAGGGUGCGAGCGUUGUCCGGAAUUAUUGGGCGUAAAGGCUCGUAGGCGGUUUGUCGCGUCGGGAGUGAAAACACCGGGCUUAACUCGGUGCUUGCUUUCGAUACGGGCAGACUAGAGGCAUGCAGGGGAGAACGGAAUUCCUGGUGUAGCGGUGAAAUGCGCAGAUAUCAGGAGGAACACCGGUGGCGAAGGCGGUUCUCUGGGCAUGUCCUGACGCUGAGGAGCGAAAGUGUGGGGAGCGAACAGG